This 483-nucleotide ribosomal RNA is filed under the name uncultured bacterium. RNAcentral's name for it is "partial 16S ribosomal RNA". It matches the Rfam family "Bacterial small subunit ribosomal RNA", at positions 899 to 1397 of the family's 1533-position model. The record is from RNAcentral.
ACUCAAAUGAAUUGACGGGGACUCGCACAAGCGGUGGAUCAUGUGGCUUAAUUCGUCGAUAAGCGAAGAACCUUACCGAGGCUAGAAAUCCAACUGCAUCCGACCUGAAAGGGACGGAGCCUUCGAGGGUGUUGGACAGGUGAUGCAUGGUUGUCGUCAGUUCGUGGCUUGAGCUGUUCCCUUCAGUGGGGUAACGAACGCAACCCACGUUGUCUGUUAUAUAUGUCAGGCGAGACUGCCCCCUCACGGGGGAGGAAGGUGUGGAUGACGCCAAAUCAGCAUGUCCCUUGAUGCCUCGGGCUGCACACGUGAUACAAUGGCCGGUACAGAAGGAUGCAAUACCGCAAGGUGGAGCAAAUCCCAAAAACCGGCCCCAGUACGGAUUGAGGUCUGCAACCGACCUCAUGAAGCCGGAAUCGCUAGUAAUCGUAGGUCAGCCAUACUACGGUGAAUACGUUCUCGAGUCUUGUACACACCGCCCGU